AGAGUUUGAUCCUGGCUCAGAUUGAAUGCUAGCGGCGUGGAUGAGGCAUGCAAGUCGUACGAAAUUUGGAGCAAUCCAAGUUUAGUGGCGGAAGGGUUAGUAAUACAUGGGUAACUUGCCCUCAACUUAGGGAUAACGGUUGGAAACGACCGCUAAUACCAAAUGCGGAGAGCUCGGGCAUCCGAGUUUCUUCAAAGCGGGGGAUCGUAAGACCUCGCAGUUGUGGAGAGGCCCAUGCGAUAUCAGCUUGUUGGUGUGGUAAUGGCGCACCAAGGCUAAGACGUCUAGGCGGGUUGAGAGAUUGACCGCCAACACUGGGACUGAGAACUGCCCAGACUCCUACGGGAGGCUGCAGUCGAGAAUCAUUCGCAAUGGGCGCAAGCCUGACGACGCGACGCCGCGUGAGCGAUGAAGGCCUUCGGGUUGUAAAGCUCUUUCGCUUGGGAACAAGAAAGGUUAGCUAACAUCUAGCCAAUUUGAGAGUACUAGGUAAAGAAGCACCGGCUAACUCCGUGCCAGCAGCUGCGGUAAUACGGAGGGUGCGAGCAUUAAUCGGAUUUAUUGGGCGUAAAGGGCGCGUAGGCGGCGUGAUAAGUCAGAUGUGAAAUCCCGGGGCUCAACCUCGGAACGGCAUUUGAAACUAUCACACUAGAGGGUAGGCGGAGAAAACGGAAUUCCACAAGUAGCGGUGAAAUGCGUAGAUAUGUGGAAGAACACCGGUGGCGAAGGCGGUUUUCUAGCUUAUUCCUGACGCUGAGGCGCGAAAGCAAGGGGAUCAAACAGGAUUAGAUACCCUGGUAGUCCUUGCCGUAAACGAUGUAUACUUGGUGUAGCCAGACUCAACCCUGGCUGUGCCGUAGCUAACGUGUUAAGUAUACCGCCUGGGGAGUACGCUCGCAAGAGUGAAACUCAAAGGAAUUGACGG
Molecule: ribosomal RNA, 925 nt
Filed under: uncultured bacterium
Lineage: Bacteria
Description: bacterial SSU rRNA
Rfam family: Bacterial small subunit ribosomal RNA
Source: RNAcentral